AUUGAACGCUGGCGGCAGGCUUAACACAUGCAAGUCGAGCGGGGGACGGUAGCUUGCUACCGGACCUAGCGGCGGACGGGUGAGCAAUGCUUAGGAAUCUGCCUAUUAGUGGGGGACAACAUCUCGAAAGGGAUGCUAAUACCGCAUACGUCCUACGGGAGAAAGCUGGGGAUCUUCGGCCCAUGCGCUAAUAGAUGCGCCUAAGUCUGAUUAGCUAGUUGGUGGGGUAGAGGCCUACCAAGGCGACGAUCGGUAGCGGGUCUGAGAGGAUGAUCCGCCAGACUGGGACUAAGAGACGGCCCAGACUCCUACGGGAGGCAGCAGUGGGGAAUAUUGGACAAUGGGGGGAACCCUGAUCCAGCCAUGCCGCGUGUGUGAAGAAGGCCUUAUGGUUGUAAAGCACUUUAAGCGAGGAGGAGGCUACUUUAGUUAAAACCUAGGGAUAGUGGACGUUACUCGCAGAAUAAGCACCGGCUAACUCUGUGCCAGCAGCCGCCGUAA
RNAcentral lists this ribosomal RNA (501 nucleotides) under uncultured bacterium. RNAcentral's name for it is "partial 16S ribosomal RNA". It matches the Rfam family "Bacterial small subunit ribosomal RNA", at positions 30 to 523 of the family's 1533-position model. The record is from RNAcentral.